AUGACGGUGGUGGUGGCCGCAGAUCCCAAUCUGGAGAAUUUCUUCGACCAACUGGAUCUCAAUGAGGAAGAAUUUGAUGAUGUGGAGAUCGAUGAAGAGGACCCGGAGAUCAAGGAAAGCGUCUGUUGGCUAGCCCUAGCUAGGGUUCAUACCAACAAAACCUUUUCUUCAUCGGCCUUCUACAAGGAGAUGAGGGCGGCUUGGAACCCUGCGCAAGGUGUUAGAUUCUGGCCGGUCGAGCCGAACAGAUUCGUCGUCCAGGCCUCAUGCUUGGGGGACUGGGAACGGAUCAUGAAACAAGGCACAUGGUUAUUCGCAAACAUGGCGAUGCUUCUAUGCAUGUACGAUGGAUUCAGUCGGGCUAAAGAUGUGGUGUUUGAUCACAUGCCAAUAUGGCUUCAUAUUCACAAGCUCCUGGACCCCUAUUACAAGGAACACAUUAUCGAGAAGCUGUUGAAGGGUGCAGGGGAUAUCUUGGAGAUGUGGCUAAACGGGAACACGAGAGGUGAUUAUGUGAGGAUUAGGGUGAAUCACAACAUUAAAACCCCCCUUACUAAGUUCGUCAGUAUUGUGCGAGCAAGGGAGCAACAAGUGUACCUUGUUCGAUAUGAAAAACUCGCUCGUUUUUGCAAGGUGUGUAGGCUGAUAAGCCAUGAUCAUAAGGAGUGUGGUCUGGGUAUACAUGAUAAGAAACAGAUGAAGUUCGGGGACUGGCUGUACGUGGAGGGGCCGUCCAGCCAGGAUAAGGCGCUGCGGUGA
Molecule: ribosomal RNA, 759 nt
Filed under: Triticum aestivum (bread wheat)
Lineage: Eukaryota; Viridiplantae; Streptophyta; Magnoliopsida; Poales; Poaceae
Description: partial small subunit ribosomal RNA
Source: RNAcentral